CGUUCUAUGGCCGAAUUGGUAAAGGCGUCGCCGAUCACAGGCGAGGUUGUGGGUUCGAGUCCCGCUGGAACGA
This 73-nucleotide transfer RNA is filed under the name Operophtera brumata (winter moth). It matches the Rfam family "tRNA". From Rfam's summary of the family: Transfer RNA (tRNA) molecules are approximately 80 nucleotides in length. Lineage: Eukaryota; Metazoa; Arthropoda; Insecta; Lepidoptera; Geometridae. The record is from Rfam by way of RNAcentral.